Molecule: long non-coding RNA, 830 nt
Filed under: Nicotiana benthamiana
Lineage: Eukaryota; Viridiplantae; Streptophyta; Magnoliopsida; Solanales; Solanaceae
Description: long non-coding RNA (NBEN_LNC030673)
Source: RNAcentral
GUUUGAAGUCUGACUGGGAAACUAGUCAUUCAAAUAAAGAAACACUCUGCAGCAAACUUAUGCUAGUUAACAUAAACUAGGGAAUAAUGAAUCUUUUGCAGGCCACGUCAAAACGCAAGUCCAUCUCGGACCUUAUCAAGCCCGACAUAUCCCAACAGACCAACUAAACUGAGUACCAGAAGUUAAACCAUUCAAAGUUGUAUUUCCAAACUCAAGAGAAAAACAAUAAAUAAGAAACACUAGUGAUGGCAGUCCAUUAUGAACAGCCCCAAUUUGACACCACAACACAGACUUCAUGCGCGCCGAAACAAAAUCCUGCUGAAUAUCAUUGUUUUCCGUCUAUCAAUCAAUUCAAAGGUUAAAGAAAGGUAUCUAAAAAUAGCAUGUACAUUAGGAGUUUUUUGGAAUUCAAACAUAAUUAAUCCCUCCAACCAUCUAAUAUGGUUGUGCAGUCUUUGACUGGAUAUAGAAUUUUAAGAUGCUAAUUGGACGUAAAUAAUCCCUCCAACCAUCUAAUAUGGUUGUGCAGUCUUUGACUGGAUAUAGAAUUUAAGAUGUUAAUUGGACUUUGCAUUACAUUAAUAGUAGAGAAUGGUAUAACCUUGGUAGACACCCUAACUUUAAUAUUUGAAUAGGUGAAGGUUUUUGAAUCUUGAAAAUUGUGAAAGUUGGAACUUAUCAACAUAAAUUGCAUCAGUUGUGUAGGAUAAUAUUAUUUGUAGAGUGGUUUAAAAUAUUUUGGACGUACCAAAAUAGAAAAAGUGCCAUGUAAAUUUGGACAUCAGGGAUAACUUGGCUACUAGGAUAAGUUAAGACAAUCAAUGCCCACA